GAAGGCUGUGAGCCGUUUCCGCCGCCAUUGCGGAUUUUGGACAGAAGAUCAGCCAUAGCCACUGCUAUCCAUCGAUGCAGUGCAGAAAGCAUACACAAGAGGGGGGACGUAUUUAACAUUUUUCCACUGAUAUCUCACUUCGGAAACACGAUUACCCACAGCAUCUUGCCUAUUUUAAAACCGUGCUAUCGUUUUCACCGACUGGCUCCGACCUACACAUUCAGUGAGGAGGUCGUAGCUAGCGCGGUGCUGCUGCUGCCUAGCUAGCUGUACGGCCAGAAUUUCAGGACUCCGGAGAAGCUCAAGGAAACAACCAUGGCUCAAAUCCUGCCUAUCCGCUUCCAGGAGCACCUGCAGCUCCAGAACUUGGGGAUCAACCCAGCCAACAUUGGAUUUAGCACGCUUACAAUGGAGUCUGACAAGUUCAUUUGUGUACGAGAGAAGGUUGGUGAACAGGCUCAGGUUGUCAUCAUUGAUAUGGCUGAUCCCAACAACCCCAUCCGCCGCCCCAUCUCUGCCGACAGCGCCAUCAUGAACCCUGCCAGCAAAGUUAUUGCCCUUAAAGCUGCAAAGACCCUGCAGAUCUUUAACAUUGAGAUGAAGAGCAAGAUGAAGGCUCACACGAUGACAGAUGACGUGACCUUCUGGAAGUGGAUCUCCCUCAACACUGUCGCCCUGGUCACAGACAACGCGGUCUACCAUUGGAGCAUGGAGGGUGACUCUCAGCCAAUCAAAGUAUUCGACCGUCACUCCAGCCUGGCAGGCUGCCAGAUCAUCAACUACCGCACUGAUGCCAAACAGAAGUGGUUGCUGCUCAUUGGCAUUUCUGCACAGCAAAACCGUGUCGUUGGAGCAAUGCAGUUGUACUCGGUGGAUAGAAAGGUUUCUCAGCCUAUUGAAGGACAUGCUGCUGGAUUUGCACAGUUCAAGAUGGAAGGCAACACCGAGGAAUCGACUCUGUUCUGCUUUGCCGUGCGGGGACAGGCGGGAGGAAAACUCCAUAUUAUUGAAGUGGGGACUCCACCAACUGGGAACCAGCCGUUUCCAAAGAAAGCUGUGGAUGUUUUCUUUCCUCCAGAAGCCCAGAAUGACUUCCCUGUGGCCAUGCAGAUCAGUUCCAAACAAGAUGUAGUCUUUCUCAUCACCAAAUAUGGCUACAUCCACCUAUAUGACUUGGAAACUGGAACCUGUAUCUACAUGAACAGAAUCAGCGGAGAGACCAUUUUUGUCACUGCCCCCCAUGAGCCUACUGCUGGAAUCAUUGGAGUCAACAGGAAAGGACAGGUGUUGUCAGUAUGCGUGGAGGAGGAAAACAUCAUUCCAUACAUCACCAAUGUGCUCCAGAACCCAGACCUUGCGCUCCGAAUGGCUGUACGCAACAACCUCGCUGGUGCUGAGGAGCUGUUUGCUCGCAAGUUCAACACCCUCUUUGCAGCAGGAAAUUACUCAGAAGCUGCCAAGGUGGCAGCGAAUGCACCCAAGGGUAUCCUGCGAACCCCAGACACCAUCCGUAGGUUCCAAAGUGUUCCCGCCCAACCAGGCCAGACGUCUCCCUUGCUUCAGUACUUUGGCAUCUUGCUGGAUCAAGGCCAACUUAAUAAGUUUGAGUCUCUGGAGCUCUGCAGGCCUGUCCUUCAGCAGGGCCGAAAGCAGCUGCUGGAGAAAUGGCUAAAAGAGGAUAAGCUGGAAUGUUCUGAGGAGCUCGGAGACUUGGUGAAGUCUGUAGAUCCAACUCUCGCCCUCAGUGUCUACCUCAGAGCCAAUGUUCCCAAUAAGGUCAUUCAGUGCUUUGCAGAGACUGGCCAAUUCCAGAAGAUUGUUCUCUAUGCUAAGAAGGUGGGCUACACUCCAGACUGGAUCUUCUUGCUAAGGAACGUAAUGCGAAUCAGUCCAGAGCAAGGUCUUCAGUUCUCUCAGAUGCUGGUUCAGGAUGAAGAGCCACUUGCUGACAUUACACAGAUUGUUGACGUAUUCAUGGAGUACAACCUGAUCCAGCAGUGCACGUCCUUCCUACUAGAUGCCCUGAAGAACAACAGACCCAUGGAGGGACCACUGCAGACGCGCCUGCUGGAAAUGAAUUUGGUCCAUGCACCACAGGUUGCAGAUGCCAUUCUGGGUAACCAGAUGUUCACCCACUAUGAUCGCGCUCACGUGGCGCAACUGUGUGAGAAAGCAGGCCUCCUGCAGAGGGCGCUGGAGCAUUACACUGACUUGUAUGAUAUUAAACGAGCAGUGGUGCAUACACACCUUCUCAACCCAGAGUGGUUGGUGAAUUUCUUUGGCUCCCUGUCUGUGGAGGAUUCUUUGGAGUGUCUGAGGGCCAUGUUAUCUGCCAACAUCCGGCAGAACCUGCAGAUCUGCGUGCAGGUCGCCUCCAAGUACCACGAGCAGCUCAGUACUCAAUCCCUCACUGAACUGUUUGAGUCAUUCAAGAGCUUUGAGGGUUUGUUCUAUUUCUUGGGCUCAAUUGUGAACUUCAGCCAGGAUCCUGAAGUCCACUUCAAAUACAUUCAGGCUGCGUGCAAAACAGGCCAAAUCAAAGAGGUGGAGAGAAUCUGCAGAGAAAGCAAUUGCUACGACCCCGAACGUGUGAAGAACUUCCUCAAGGAAGCCAAGCUUACCGACCAGCUGCCAUUAAUCAUCGUGUGUGACCGCUUUGAUUUCGUCCACGAUCUGGUCCUGUACCUGUACCGCAACAGCCUACAGAAAUACAUUGAGAUCUAUGUGCAGAAGGUGAACCCGAGCCGUCUGCCAGUAGUCAUUGGUGGAUUAUUGGAUGUGGACUGUGCCGAAGAUGUAAUUAAGAACCUGAUCAUGGUGGUGAGGGGACAGUUCUCCACAGAUGAAUUGGUCGCUGAAGUGGAGAAAAGAAAUCGCUUGAAGUUGUUGCUGCCUUGGUUGGAGGCUCGUAUUCAUGAAGGUUGUGAGGAGCCUGCAACCCACAACGCCUUGGCCAAGAUCUACAUCGACAGCAACAACAACCCCGAGCGUUUCUUGAGGGAGAACCCUUACUAUGAUAGCCGCGUGGUGGGCAAGUACUGUGAAAAGAGAGACCCCCACCUGGCCUGCGUGGCUUAUGAAAGAGGACAGUGUGACCAGGAACUCAUUAACGUGUGCAAUGAGAACUCGCUGUUCAAGAGUCUGUCCCGCUACCUUGUACGCCGCAAGAACCCAGAGCUGUGGGCAAGUGUGCUGUUGGAGACCAACCAUUACAGAAGACCACUCAUUGACCAGGUCGUCCAGACAGCCUUAUCAGAGACCCAGGAUCCAGAGGAGGUGUCUGUCACAGUCAAGGCCUUCAUGACCGCCGACCUUCCUAACGAGCUCAUCGAGCUUCUGGAAAAGAUUGUGCUGGAUAAUUCUGUCUUUAGCGAGCACAGAAACCUUCAGAAUCUCCUCAUUCUGACUGCCAUUAAAGCUGAUCGGACACGCGUCAUGGAGUACAUUAACCGUCUGGACAACUACGACGCCCCAGACAUUGCAAACAUUGCCAUCAGCAAUGAGCUGUUUGAGGAGGCCUUUGCUAUAUUUAGAAAAUUUGAUGUCAACACUUCUGCUGUGCAGGUCCUGAUCGAACACAUCGGCAACCUGGACAGAGCUUAUGAAUUCGCUGAACGCUGCAAUGAGCCCCCAGUUUGGAGUCAGCUGGCAAAGGCGCAACUUCAGAAGGACUUGGUGAAAGAAGCCAUCGACUCUUACAUUAAGGCUGAUGAUCCCUCGGCCUACAUGGAGGUGGGACAAGCUGCAGCCCAAAGCGGAAACUGGGAGGACCUGGUGAAGUUCCUGCAGAUGGCUCGAAAGAAAGCCCGCGAGUCAUAUGUUGAGACAGAGUUGAUCUUUGCCCUGGCCAAGACCAACCGCUUGGCCGAGCUGGAAGAGUUCAUCAACGGACCCAAUAAUGCUCACAUUCAGCAAGUGGGUGAUCGAUGCUAUGAUGACAAGAUGUACGAGGCAGCCAAACUGCUUUACAAUAAUGUGUCAAACUUUGGCCGUCUGGCCUCAACUCUGGUUCACCUGGGAGAAUACCAGGCAGCUGUGGACGGUGCCCGCAAGGCUAACAGCACCCGCACCUGGAAGGAGGUGUGUUUUGCUUGUGUAGAUGGGAAGGAGUUCCGUCUUGCCCAGAUGUGUGGCCUGCAUAUUGUUGUCCACGCUGAUGAGCUGGAGGAGCUCAUCAACUACUACCAGGACCGUGGUUACUUCGAGGAGCUGAUCACCAUGCUAGAGGCUGCCCUUGGGUUGGAGCGUGCUCACAUGGGCAUGUUCACUGAGCUGGCUAUCCUCUACUCCAAAUUCAAACCCCAGAAGAUGAGGGAACACCUGGAGCUCUUCUGGUCCCGUGUUAACAUUCCAAAGGUUCUCAGGGCAGCUGAGCAGGCCCACCUCUGGGGAGAACUUGUGUUCCUCUAUGACAAGUAUGAGGAAUAUGACAAUGCCAUCAUCACCAUGAUGAAUCACCCAGCUGAUGCCUGGAAGGAAAGCCAGUUCAAAGACAUUGUCACUAAGGUGGCUAACGUUGAGCUGUACUACAAGGCCGUCCAGUUUUAUCUCGAGUUUAAACCACUGCUGCUGAAUGACCUCCUUAUUGUCCUCUCUCCAAGACUGGAUCACACACGUGCUGUCAACUUCUUCAGCAAGGUGAAACAGCUGCCUCUGGUUAAGCCUUACCUAAGGUCUGUCCAGAAUCACAACAACAAGUCAGUGAAUGAAGCACUUAACAAUCUCUUCAUCAAUGAAGAAGACUAUGCGGCGCUGCGCACUUCCAUCGAUGCUUACGACAACUUUGACAACAUCUCGCUCGCCCAGAGCCUGGAGAAGCACGAGCUGAUUGAAUUCAGGAGGAUUGCAGCCUAUCUUUUUAAAGGCAACAACCGCUGGAAACAGAGUGUCGAGCUCUGCAAGAAGGACAAGCUCUACAAGGAUGCCAUGCAGUACGCAUCAGAGUCCAAAGACACUGAGCUGGCAGAAGAGCUCCUGGCUUGGUUCUUGAAGGAAGACAAGAAAGAGUGUUUUGCUGCCUGCCUAUUCACCUGCUACGACCUGCUGCGGCCCGACGUAGUACUGGAGACUGCCUGGCGACACAACAUCAUGGACUUCUCCAUGCCGUACUUCAUCCAGGUCAUGAGGGAAUAUCUCACUAAGGUUGAUGCGAUAAAGGAAAAGUGCUUAUAGUCACAAUACUGGCAUUAGAAACCAUAAAUGUUAGCCUGUUACAUGCAUUUUUAGAGGGGUGUAUUUUUCUCUCUGUUUCUUUGAGUAUUCUUGCAAAGUGAACUCUCUUCAAGCGACAAAUUGCUUUUGUGGGUCAGGGAAUAAAAUCUGUAGUCCGGGUGUAUCCACUGGGGAGAAAAAAAAUUCAGAACUUGUAGAAAACGACCAGCAUGCAUUUCCCUCCUCCUCCCUUGGUAGCAUCAGCUGCACUCAGGCCAGGCUAAGAGACAUGUUGUUGGCUGUGCCUGCUUCUUGGAAACGUUGAACUGGCUGUACAGUACCAUCCCCUCCACCCUGUCGUUCACACUCCCUCCACUUUGGCUCUCUGCUUCUCUGUCUUUCUCUCAUGCACUCCUCAAGAAAUAAAUGACUAAACUGCUGCUUCAGCAUGUCUCUAAUAAAUCGACACACUUUUCUUAAAACGGCCUCUUAACUAGAUCGACUGAUGUUUUUCUUUUUCACUAGUAAACCAGACAGUAUGUAGAGAACUGAACCCAAAACCACCGUGAGAGGAAAUCCAACCCCCUUUUUUGGGUUUAAUUUUUUCUUUUCUUUUUUUUUAAUUUUUACAUCAUUUAGCACAGUUAUCUUAUCUCAACUGCAAUGCACGCUGGCGUAGCCGAGAGCACUGAGGGUAAUAUCUGAAGCUUCCUGCUGGCUGCUUAAUUCUCUGAAUUGUUUCAACUCUAUCUUUAUCCUUCGACUGUCAUUGUCUGCUUCUGAGCUGAGGCUAAAACACCAAAGAAGAAAUAAUGGGAAGUUUGAGAAUGUUUAUUCUCAAGGCUUUUACAUGUUUUACAGAGCUGUUUACACCCAGGCAGGGAGUUAAAGAUACGAUAUGUAGCAUGUUAGCUGCACAAUAAAUAAUAUUAAAGUGACAAAAGUGAACGUCUGAUUUUCAGGCUUUAGGAAAUGUAGUUUAAAGCCUGAAAAGUCUGAGAGGCUUCAUCCAAUCACACCUCUUUUCUGGUAAAGGUCAGGUGAGUAGUAAAAAAAAAAGGAAUUAAAACACUUCAUUGCAUGAUUGGAAGGAGGAAGCAAGGGGUUAUCAAUCUAUAUAUAUUUACCUUUUCAUUUUAUUUGACCUUAUUUUACAUUUAUUUAAUUUUGCCUGUUUAUAAUGGCCACUUUCGCCCGUAAAAGUAUUAAAUCCUGGAAACGCCCAGUUCUUACUGGUGUGGAUUGGCAUUUGUGUUUUCAGAACACACUGGAUGCUAAGCUAGGAAACAAAGAUGACGACAGAUCCAAGCAGGUUGGUUAGUAUACGACAGUGAUUUUUAAAAAAAGACAUAAAAAUGAGGUUAAGUUAAAGGUAAAAGGUGAUAGUGAGAUGGUUGAAAUUACAUAGUUGUAGUGUUCUGGAAGAAAAGCCUGAUGUGAGGGUGUUUGCACUGGUGCAGGGUGGGUUCUCUACAUACUCACACUUGUUCAACAUGUUAGAGUAGAUGUUUUUGGGUGGCUGGAUGGUGGGACCAUUAUUACCCAGUAGCUGUUUGUCUUUGUCUCCCCUCCUUACUCCCUAAUUUGUUUCACAGUAAGUGGAUGUCCAUAAGGUAGAGUGCUGUAUAGAGUAGCCAGUAGCUCUGUAGUUGUAGUUAUUCCUCUUAGGCUCCUUAGCGAGGCCUGCUUCCCGCAGCCUGUUUUUAUUUAAAUCUGGACUGUAAUCGUCUUCGCCUGUCAGGAAUGGUCCCAUCCGUCAGCCAGUGAAAUAACCCAGAGGUGGACAAACUCGAAGCCUCCGAGUCUCUGAGGAAACAGGAAGAGCAGGCUACAGAGUCUCAACCCAUUGUUUACG
Pelmatolapia mariae (spotted tilapia) is the source of this 7006-nucleotide RNA transcript. It is a transcript of the gene named clathrin heavy chain 1-like, with no coding region annotated. The transcript is spliced from 33 exons. The record is from RefSeq and is a predicted model, not a curated record. NCBI's taxonomy places the organism in Eukaryota, Metazoa, Chordata, Actinopteri, Cichliformes, Cichlidae.